UUAGAUCAGAAGCGAGAAUGUUGACAUGAGUAGCGAUAAAGAGGGUGAGAGACCCUCUCGCCGUAAGUCCAAGGGUUCCUGCUUAAAGCUAAUCUGAGCAGGGUAAGCCGGCCCCUAAGGCGAGGCCGAAAGGCGUAGUCGAUGGGAACCAGGUUAAUAUUCCUGGGCCAGGAGGAAGUGACGGAUCUCGAAGGUAGUUUGCCCUUAUCGGAUUGGGUGGGCUGCUCAGAGGUUCCAGGAAAUAGCCCUCCAUCAGACCGUACCCUAAACCGACACAGGUGGACUGGUAGAGUAUACCAAGGCGCUUGAGAGAACCACGUUAAAGGAACUCGGCAAAAUGCCUCCGUAAGUUCGCGAGAAGGAGGCCCCAUAUGUGCGCAAGCAUGUGUGGGGGGCACAAACUAGGGGGUGGCGACUGUUUACUUAAAACACAGGGCUGUGCGAAGCCGUAAGGCGACGUAUACAGUCUGACGCCUGCCCGGUGCUGGAAGGUUAAAAGGAGGGGUGCAAGCUCUGAAUUGAAGCCCCAGUAAACGGCGGCCGUAACUAUAACGGUCCUAAGGUAGCGAAAUUCCUUGUCGGGUAAGUUCCGACCUGCACGAAUGGCGUAACGAUCUCCCCGCUGUCUCUAACGUGGACUCAGCGAAAUUGAACUGUGUGUCAAGAUGCACACUACCCGCGGUUAGACGGAAAGACCCCAUGCACCUUUACUCCAGCUUUGCACUGGUAUCAGGAUUGUGAUGUGCAGGAUAGGUGGUAGGCAUCGAAGCGGGGACGCCAGUUCUCGUGGAGCCUCCCUUGAGAUACCACCCUUCGCCAUCUUGAUAUCUAACCGCGGCCCGUUAUCCGGGUCCGGGACCCUGCAUGGUGGGGAGUUUGACUGGGGCGGUCGCCUCCCAAACAGUAACGGAGGCGCGCGAAGGUAGGCUCAGACCGGUCGGAAAUCGGUCGUUGAGUGCAAUGGCAGAAGCCUGCCUGACUGCAAGUCUGACAAGACGAGCAGAGACGAAAGUCGGUCAUAGUGAUCCGGUGGUCCCAAGUGGGAGGGCCAUCGCUCAACGGAUAAAAGGUACGCUGGGGAUAACAGGCUGAUGAUGCCAAGAGUCCAUAUCGACGGCAUCGUUUGGCACCUCGAUGUCGGCUCAUCUCAUCCUGGGGCUGGAGCAGGUCCCAAGGGUAUGGCUGUUCGCCAUUUAAAGAGGUACGUGAGCUGGGUUUAGAACGUCGUGAGACAGUUCGGUCCCUAUCUGCCGUGGGUGUAGGAGACUUGAGAAGAGUUGCCCCUAGUACGAGAGGACCGGGGUGAACGAACCACUGGUGGACCAGUUGUCGUGCCAACGGCAGUGCUGGGUAGCUAUGUUCGGACAGGAUAACCGCUGAAGGCAUCUAAGCGGGAAGCCCCCUUCAAAACAAGGUCUCCCUUGAGAGCCGUGGAAGACCACCACGUCGAUAGGCCGGAGGUGUAAGUGCAGCAAUGCAUUCAGCUGACCGGUACUAAUUGCGC
This 1504-nucleotide ribosomal RNA is filed under the name metagenome. Its description in RNAcentral is "bacterial LSU rRNA". It matches the Rfam family "Bacterial large subunit ribosomal RNA", at positions 1277 to 2910 of the family's 2925-position model. The record is from RNAcentral.